This 234-nucleotide long non-coding RNA is filed under the name Olea europaea (common olive). RNAcentral describes it as "long non-coding RNA (OEUR_LNC008921)". Lineage: Eukaryota; Viridiplantae; Streptophyta; Magnoliopsida; Lamiales; Oleaceae. The record is from RNAcentral.
AAGCAUAUUGACAAUCAUCCUUCGGUGUCAUUGGCUACAAUUCCUCCCGUUAAGUCCCUUCUAGGACCUCUCCCGUCUGAUAUUCCUCCAAUUUUGAAAAAUAAGGGUAAAAUUUUUGAUAAUCAUCAUUUGGCUUCAUUGGCUCCACCUCCUCCCGUUAAGUCCCUUCUAGGACCUCCCCCUUCUAAUGGUUCUCCAAUCUUGGAAAAUCAGGGUAGAAUUUCUGAAACUCCA